Long non-coding RNA from Eucalyptus grandis, 457 nucleotides. RefSeq lists it as uncharacterized. The record is from RefSeq and is a predicted model, not a curated record. Lineage: Eukaryota; Viridiplantae; Streptophyta; Magnoliopsida; Myrtales; Myrtaceae. The transcript has 2 exons.
AGGUUAUACGCCUCCAGUUGGCAACAAGAGAAGCAUUAACACAAGAAAACUGCGUUGUUCAGUGCCAGUAGCUUAGAAGACGAUGGCAUCAACAAAGGCUGAGAAAACAGUGGGCACUCAACUGUUCGGGCAGGUAAAGAAGGAGCCUGCCAAGGUUGAUGGGCCGUCAAAGAGCUCUUCCAAGAGCUCUUCCAAGUCAUCAGGUUCGAAGAAGGCUUCGCCAAAGCCUCAAGAAACAAAGAAGAAGGGGAAAGGAGGAAAAGCAGCAGCGAAGAACUGAUACUUAUGCAAGAACACUAUGAAGAAUUAAGUUGAUGUUUUUGCUUUUUAUGUUGUGUAAACCACGUGUUGCGAUGGCGUGAUCAGUGGUUUUCUGUGUUUCAUCUUGUGAUAUGGCUUGUUAGAAAUAACAAUUGAACUCUACAACUUAUUAGUAUCCAACGAGCCAUUACUGUUC